GACGAACGCUGGCGGCGUGCUUAACACAUGCAAGUCGAACGGUAAGGCCCUUCGGGGUACACGAGUGGCGAACGGGUGAGUAACACGUGGGUGAUCUGCCCUGCACUUCGGGAUAAGCCUGGGAAACUGGGUCUAAUACCGGAUAGGACCACUGCCUGCAUGGGUGGUGGUGGAAAGCUUUUGCGGUGUGGGAUGGGCCCGCGGCCUAUCAGCUUGUUGGUGGGGUGAUGGCCUACCAAGGGGACGACGGGUAGCAGGCGUGAGAGGGUGACCGGCCACACUGGGAAUGAGAUACGGCCCAGACUCCGACGGGAGGCAGCAGUGGGGAAUAUUGCACAAUGGGCGCAAGCCUGAUGCAGCGACGCCGCGUGAGGGAUGACGGCCUUCGGGUUGCAAACCUCUUUCAGCACCGACGAAGCGUAAGUGACGGUAGGUGCAGAAGAAGCACCGGCUAACUACGUGCCAGCCGCCGCAGUAA
Molecule: ribosomal RNA, 478 nt
Filed under: uncultured bacterium
Lineage: Bacteria
Description: partial 16S ribosomal RNA
Rfam family: Bacterial small subunit ribosomal RNA
Source: RNAcentral